RNAcentral lists this ribosomal RNA (497 nucleotides) under uncultured bacterium. RNAcentral's name for it is "partial 16S ribosomal RNA". It matches the Rfam family "Bacterial small subunit ribosomal RNA", at positions 28 to 507 of the family's 1533-position model. The record is from RNAcentral.
GACGAACGCUGGCGGCUUGCCUAAUACAUGCAAGUUGAGCGAUGAAGAUUGGUGCUUGCACCCAUUUGAAGAGCAGCGAACGGGUGAGUAACGCGUGGGGAAUCUGCCUUUGAGCGGGGGACAACAUUUGGAAACGAAUGCUAAUACCGCAUAAUAACUUUAAACAUAAGUUUUAAGUUUGAAAGAUGCAAUUGCAUCACUCAAAGAUGAUCCCGCGUUGUAUUAGCUAGUUGGUGAGGUAAAGGCUCACCAAGGCGAUGAUACAUAGCCGACCUGAGAGGGGGAUCGGCCAAAUUGGGACUGGGACCAGGCCCAAAACCCUACGGGAGGCAGCAGGAGGGAAUCUUCGGGAAUGGACGAAAGGCUGAACGAGCAACGCCGCGUGAGGGAAGAAGGUUGUCGGAUCGGAAAACUCUGUUGGUAGAGAAGAACGUUGGUGAGAGUGGAAAGCUCAUCAAGUGACGGUAACUACCCAGAAAGGGACGGCUAACUACGUG